Molecule: non-coding RNA, 607 nt
Organism: Paramuricea clavata
Lineage: Eukaryota; Metazoa; Cnidaria; Anthozoa; Malacalcyonacea; Plexauridae
Source: the annotation of a GenBank genome assembly
UAACCAAAAAAGUCGUUCUAGGGUAUAAAAGUGCCGGGUAAACUGACUAAAUAAAACUGGUAUUUGCACAAAAUCAAAUCACCAAGAGUCUCUUUCGCAAGUACGUUAUCUUGCAUGCAGUUACUAUACGAAAAAGAACCUCACAGGUCGUCAUUGACAUCAAUCCAUAGCUUUAUGCGGUUUCAUUUUGGUUUGGCCUGAACGUAUAAAAGAUAGCCAUUUAUGAGUUAUCGAUUCUAACAGUGUCAAUCAUAUCACCAUGUGUUCCAUUAAGAUCUCCACAUGUUCCAGUUCAGUGAAAGCUGAGGGAUAGUUAAAAAGAAUUGCGGUUUUGAUCUUGAAAUAAAAAAUAUUUUAGAUGCUUUACUAAUUAAAAACAGGGUUGAUGGGUAAGGUCAAGUGCCACUCCGUAAAACUGCACAAUAAACCUUGUGUAGUUAGAUUCACGAACAUUGCUGAUUAGGGGCGGGGGUGAAUGGGGGAGACCGCUUUCCUUCAAUAUUUUCUUAACUAUACAUUAUCAUGUAUCUUGCAAGGAUCGGGAAAUAUGCUUGCAAGGAAAUAUGCAUGAUAAUACAGUACAUUAUCAUGUAUUAUAUAGUUAUCA